GGAAAACAAAUCUCUUCUUUGUACAUCAUGGUGAAAACCAUGGAACUAUGGCCUUAAUUCUUUUUUUGCUUGAGGACCCAGAAGCUCACCACUAAAUGACCUGACUCACCCAGCAAUUUCAGACUGAGUUCUCCAGGGUACUUCCUCUGCUGAGUGACCUUCAAAUAAAGGAGGAGGCUUCCUAGUGCUGUGCCCAGGAAGAGCAGCGAGGACAUGAUACACGAGUGAUGUGCAAGGAGUACAAACCUCCAACAGUGAUGACGAACAUGACUUUGGAGUGAGCUCGCGUUACUCUGCACUUUGGAAUUAAAUUUUCACUGUUCACAGGCUGCCCAGUGACCUACUCUGCUAUGGAAGUACUUUAUGGAGGACAACUGUAUCAC
RNAcentral lists this long non-coding RNA (383 nucleotides) under Chinchilla lanigera (long-tailed chinchilla). Its description in RNAcentral is "lncRNA (ENSCLAG00000024976.1)". Lineage: Eukaryota; Metazoa; Chordata; Mammalia; Rodentia; Chinchillidae. The record is from RNAcentral.